RNAcentral lists this long non-coding RNA (6063 nucleotides) under Hordeum vulgare. RNAcentral's name for it is "long non-coding RNA (HVUL_LNC010313)". The record is from RNAcentral. Lineage: Eukaryota; Viridiplantae; Streptophyta; Magnoliopsida; Poales; Poaceae.
AUAUGUGUUUUGCUUGGAGCGUCUUGUAUCGUAUGAGUCUUUAUUUUUGUUGUGUCAUCCUUGCUGCACACCUUUUCAGAGAGACAUGCACUCAUCGUGAUUUUUCUAGAAUGCUCAUCAUGCUUCACUUAUAUCUUUUGAGCUAGAGAAUUUUCCUCUAUGUGCUUCACUUAGAUCUUUUAGAGCACGGCGGUGCGUGACUUGGUAGUUGGCUUGUGCUAUGAAAGUAGUCCCAAAGGUGAUAGAUACCCGAAGAGGAUAGAAAAACCUGCAUCUUCAUGUGUAUUGAAUAGAAAGAGAAGUUUUGAUUCAUCUCAAUUAGUUUUGAGACGUGGAUUUGGUAAUAUUAAGAGCUAUGUUAGUAGGGUGUUGUGAAUCUAGAAAUACUUGUGUUGAAGUUAGUGAUUCCCGUAGCAUGCACGUAUGGUGAACCACUAUGUUAGGAAGUCGGAGCAUAAUUGAUCUGUUGAUUGUCAUCCUUUGUGUUACGGUCGGGAUCGCGCGAUGGUUAACACCUACCAACCCUUCCCCUAGGAGUAUGCGUUUAGCACUUUGUUUGGAUUACUAACAAAACUUUCGCAACAAGUAUGUGAGUUCUUCAUGACUAAUGUGAGUCUAUGCUAUAGAUGCACUUUCGCCUUCCACCAUUGUUAUCCUCUCUAGUGCCGCGCAAUUUUCGUCGGUGCACAAACCCACCAUAUGCCUUCCUAAAAACAGCCACCAUACCUACCUACUAUGGCAUUUUCAUAGCCAUUCCGAGAUAUAUUGCCAUGCAACUCCCACCGUUCCGUCUCAUGACUUGUGCCGUCACUCUCAUAUUGCCAUUUCAUGAUCGUAAGAUAGCUAGCGAGAUAUUUCAACGUCAUACGCCAAGCUAGAUCGUUGCACAUCUCGGUACACUGCCGGAGGCAUUUCCUAUAUAUAGAGUCAUCAUCGUUCUGAGCUUUGACCUGUGAGUAAAUAAAAGUGUGAUGAUCAUCAUUAUUAGAGCAUUGUCCCAUGUGAGGAAAUAAAAAAACAAAAAGAGGCCAAAGAGCCCAAAUAAAAAAAGAGAAAACAAAAAAGAGAAAAAAGAGGCCCAAGAGCCCAAAUAAAAAAAGAGAAAAAGAGAGAAGGGACAAUGCUACUAUCUUUUUCCACACUUGUGCUUCAUAAUAGCACCAUGUUCUUCAUGAUUUUGAGCCUCUCCUUUUGUCACCACCAUAUGCUAGUGGGAAUAUUUAUUAUAUAAGUUGGCUUGUAUAUUCCAAUGAUGGGCUUCCUCAAAAUUUCCCUAGGUCUUCGUGAGCAAGCAAGUUGGAUGCACACCCACUAGUUCUCCUUUUGAGCUUUCACAUACUUAUAGCUCUAGUGCAUCUUUUGUAUGGCAAUCCCUACUCAUUCACAUUGAUAUCUAUUAAUGGGCAUCUCCAUAGCCCUUUGAUACGCCGAGUCAAUGUGACCAUCUCCUCCCUUUUUGUCUCACAACCACCACCACACUCUAUUCCACCUAUAGUGUUAUAUCCAUGGCUCACGCUCAUGUAUUGUGUGAUAGUUAUAAAAAGUUUGAGGAAGUAAGAGUGCGAAAACAAUUACUUGGCCAAUACCGGGGUUGUGCAUGAUUUAAAUUAGUUGUGUGAGGAUGAUGGAGCAUAGCCAGACUAUAUGAUUUUGUAGGGAUAACCUCCUUUGGCCUUGUUAUUUCGAAAGUUCAUGAUUACCUUGCUAGUUUGCUUGAAGUAUUAUUGUUUUCAUGUCAAUAGCAAACUAUUGUUUUGAAUCUUACGGAUCUAAAUAUUCAUGUCACACGAAAGAAGUUACAAAGGACAACUAUGCUAGGUAGCAUUCCACGUCAAAAAUUCAGUCUUUAUCACUUCCCUACUCGAGGACGAGCAGGAGUUAAGCUUGGGGAUGCUUGAUACGUCUCCAACGUAUCUAUAAUUUUUGAUGGUUUCAUGCUAUUAUCUUGUCAAACUUUGGAUGUUUUGUAUUCCUUUUAUAUCUUUUUGGGGCUAACUUAUUAACUCAGUGCCAAGUGCCAGUUCCUGUUUUUUCCGUGUCUUUUCAGAGGAGGAUUUUAAACGGAGUACAAACGGAACGAAACUUCCAAAAAGAUUUUUUCUGAAAUAGAACACGAUCGGGGGACUUGAGAACCAAGGCAGGGGGCCACCAGGGACCCCACAAGCCCCCUAGCCGCGGCCAAGGGGGCCCGCGCCUCCAAGGCUUGUGGGAUCUCUGGGUCACCUCUGCCCUAGGUCUUUCGCCUAUAUAUUCCCAAAAAUUCCAGAAAAAUCAGGAGAUCAUCGAAAGUACUUUUCCGCCGCCGCAAGCUUCUGUCUCCGCAAGAUCCCAUCUGGGGCACGUUCUGGUGCCUUGCCGGAGAGGGGGAUUCUGAUAUGGAGGGCUUCUUCAUCAACACCAUGACCUAUCCGAUGUUGCGUGAAUAGUUCACCAUAGCCUACGGGUCCAUAACUAGUAGCUAGAUGGCUUCUUCUCUCUCUUGGAUCUUCAAUACAAAGUUCUCCAUGAUCUUCAUGGAGAUCUAUCCGAUGUAAUCUUCUUUCGCGGUGUGUUUGUCUAGAUCCGCUGAAUUUUGUAUUUAUGAUCUGAUUAUCUAUGAAUCUUAUUUGAGUUUCUUCUGAUAUCUUAUAUGCAUUCUUUCAUAUCCUUGUAAUUCUCUUCGAGUUGUGGGUUUUGUUUGGCUAGCUUGAUCUAUGAUUCUUGCAAUGGGAUAAGUGCUUGGUUUUGGGUUCAUACUGUGCGGUGACCUCACCAACUGACAGAAGGGGUACCGAGGCACGCAUCAUGUUGUUGCCAUCAAGGGUAAAAAGAUGGGGUUUUCAUCAUUGGUUUGAGUUUAUCCUUCUACAUCAUGUCAUCUUGCUUAAGGCGUUACUCUGUUCGUCAUGAACUCAAUACACUAGAUGCAUGCUGGAUAGCGGUCGAUGUGUGUAGUAAUAGUAGUAGAUGCAGAAAGUAUCGGUCUACUUGUCUCCGACGUGAUGCCUAUAUGUAUGAUCAUUGCCUUAGAUAUCAUCAUGACUUUGCGCGGUUCUAUCAAUUGCUCGACAGUAAUUUUAUCACCCACCGUAAUAUUUUCUAUUUUGAGAGAAGCCUCUAGUGAACACUAUGGCCCCCGGGUCUACUUCACACCAUAUUUUCAGCCUUACUCUUUUACUUCGUUGCACUUUCCGCCUUCAGAUCUCACUUUGCAAUCAAUUUUGAAGGGAUUGACAACCUCUUUAUAGCGUUGGGUGCAUGCUCGUUUGUGUUUGCGCAGGUACUCUGGACUUGACGAGAUUCUCCUACUGGAUUGAUACCUUGGUUCUCAAACUGAGGGAAAUACUUGCUGCUCCUAUGCUGCAUCACCCUUUCCUCUUCAAGGGAAAAACCAACGCAAGCAAGUCUCCGUCAAUGUGUCAAUUUGUGGCGCUGUUGUUUGAGAAGUAGCAUUAGCCUCCGGGCCCGCCGUAAGGGAGGCGUGUUUGGUCAGAGCCGUUUGCUGUGAUACCGGCGUCCAGGUUAGGUCCGAUCUAGGGGACGACUCUUUGAAAGAGAGGGAUACGAGGACAUAGUCGGACGUGAUACCCGAAGUUAAAGCUUCGGGGUUUCUGAUCUCAUCGACCGAGCCCGGUAUUCCUGUGAGGACCAGAUUGGUAUGCGAAAGGGUUGGGGGUUCGAUACUCCCUGACCUCGCUUGCUGGUCGGGGGCCAAACUUCCGAUCUGGCCAGGAUGGCCGAUUGGGUCUGCGCGAAGCGUAAUGCUACCAAACGAGAGAACCUAUCCGGAGACAAAGACGUCACCAUUACUGAUUCUGUCUCUAACCAUUAGGUGAGCCAUCGAACCUUUCGGCGUUCCUGAAGUGUAAAUCUCAAUGAAAGCACCAAUGUCAGUGUCUAAACCGCCACAUAUCGGGUAGGGUGUCCCGUACUGUGGACCUUCGAUCGAUGGGUUGCAGGAAGACGGGGGAGACAGUAGUUUACCCUGGUUCGGGACUUCCUAUGGAGGUAAUAACCUACGUCCUGCUUGAUUAUAUUGAUGAAGAUGAUUAUAUAGUGGAUCUACCUCGAUAUCGUAUAUGCUAAACCUUAGAUGAUUCAGCCACCUCUAUACGGAUAAGAGUCCCUGAUUUAUAUAAACACCAAGGUCCCUAGGGUUUACAAGUUACCAAGUAUAAUCGGGGAUAGAUGAGCCGACAUAUUCUUCCUAAGCUUGAAGUACACGCCAAUCUUCGGGAUAUUCUAUCCAGAGUAGAGGUCGUCAUGACAGCCGGUCUUCUUCAGCACGGCCCAAUGGGCAAACCCAGUAUUGACUAACCGGCCGCCCGAGGACCCGAGAAUCCUGGACUCCCUCACAAGGGCAAUUUAAAAAGGAAAAUGAAGCCUCGGAGGGAGAACAAAAGCGCACCAUGAUUAAAACACUUCAGCCAUGAAGUACUUAAAACAAAAUCUCCCUACAAUUGUUUUUAUACCCCCACGGGGCCAAUUGGUUCGCUGUGCAACAUGAUAGAAGAAAAAGCGAUAAUAGCUUAGGAGGAGGAGGCGGUGUCGUUCUCAUCAUUGUCGCUCAUGAGGCCCCCUCCAGGGCUUCCUCCCUCCUCGAAGGGCUCGACAUGCAUGAACUACUUGAUCAGAGAGUCCACGUGCUCGCAUUCUUCAUCCUUGAGAAGGCCGUGGGGCUCUACAGGCACCAGCUCUACCACGAGGGAAAAGUCAAAGGUAGGGUCGUGGCGGCAAAGGUUAGAGAAGUCGUGUGUCGCCACAUAGUCCAGGAGGUCUCGGGAACCGCCAUCGAUGGCCUCGUCCACCUUGGAGACACCCGACACCAGCACCUCCACAUCUUUCAUGAAGAAGUCGAGGUAGCCACCAUUGGAGUGCGCGAGGGGCAGUGUCGGGAUGUCCUCAAUGAAACGGUCAAGUGCGCCACUAGCGCGCAUGACGAGCACCAAGAAGAACUUCGUAGGCCAUGCCUGCAUCACUCGCACAUGCGCCUCGUUGUCUCGGGCCCUCCGCAUGGCUUCAGUGACCUCACCAACCUGCGCCUAGAGCAGCACGAGCUCUGCCUCCACAUCCCAUUUGCCCUCAAGGCUGGUCUGGAGGUCUACCUCACCAUCCUAGACCUAGGCCUUGAGCUCAUGAGCCUCCUCCUAGAGCUCAUCGCGCUUGAGCUCGAAGCUGGUCUCCUCCAGCACCACCCUACCGUGGUACUCCUCUCAAGCAGCCUCCCGCUCCCUAGUGACCCUCGCGUCAGCCUCAACAUUGGUCAUGGUGCGCGCGGCCUCAAGGUCAGCUCCGUCGCAGAGAACCCGUCCUUCCAUGGUAAAGAGACACCCGCUCUCUGCCUCUUGGUCGAAGGCGGUCUGGGCGGCCUCCCGCUCCAGAAGGACUAUGUUGGCCUCUCAGCCAAUGAGGUCCUCUUCCUUUGGGGCCAGCUCUCCCUCGCACAUGAUGCACUACUGCUCGCACACGGUGGCCGCAUCCUCGCGGACUUGGAGCUCCCGCACGCAGAGGGCGACCAGCUCCUCUGCCCGGUAGGAUCGUGAUUCGGCCUCCCAGCGCUGGGUGCUCUCCGCUCGGAGGUUGGCCUCGAGCGCAUCAAGUGUGUCAUGCAUGCUUGGGGGAGCUCCGCAGGCGGCUGAGCCUCCCGCGGGGUCUUCUCCCUCCACAUGCCCCUUGUUGGUGGUCGGGGUAGCGCUGUGAGCCGCGAGCUGGGGGCUCACCGCCGCCCUCUGGUCGUCGCCUUUAGCACCAGUCUCCUCCAGGGUCGGGCGGUCAUGCGGCAUGAGUGCCUCCCCAGAAAGUCGCACCGGCGAGGGCGCCACGGAAAUGGAGGCCCUUUGACUCUUGCGUGCGGGCCCCUUGAAGGGCCAGCUAUUCAAUCCAUCAUACUCAUCAACGGCGAGCAAAAAUGGGUAAGAAAAUUGGCGAACUUACUCAUCGAUGGUCGCCUAGUGCCUCUGCGUUGGCAAGGACCGUAGGCGCUGGCUGCCGCCACUUCCAGGGGAGGACGACAACACCGUAGGAUCCUCCUGUGCCUCGACGAUGGUGGCGCUCCUCUUUGGCACCAUGGCAUUGGAAACCGCG